This 255-nucleotide ribosomal RNA is filed under the name uncultured bacterium. RNAcentral's name for it is "partial 16S ribosomal RNA". It matches the Rfam family "Bacterial small subunit ribosomal RNA", at positions 524 to 776 of the family's 1533-position model. The record is from RNAcentral.
UACGUAGGGUGCAAGCGUUUGUCCGGAAUUAUUGGGCGUAAAGAGCUCGUAGGCGGUCUGUCGCGUCGGCUGUGAAAACCUGGGGCUCAACUCCGGGCCUGCAGCCGAUACGGGCAGACUAGAAUUCGGUAGGGGAGACUGGAAUUCCUGGUGUAGCGGUGAAAUGCGCAGAUAUCAGGAGGAACACCAAUUGCGAAGGCAGCUCGCUGGGACGUUACUGACGCUGAGACGCGAAAGCGUGGGGGAGCAAACAGG